RNAcentral lists this long non-coding RNA (716 nucleotides) under Phoenix dactylifera (date palm). RNAcentral's name for it is "long non-coding RNA (PDAC_LNC017378)". The record is from RNAcentral. Lineage: Eukaryota; Viridiplantae; Streptophyta; Magnoliopsida; Arecales; Arecaceae.
GGGAGAAGAGGAGGAGGCUAAUUUUUAUUCAUCAUUCAUCAAAAAAACCUAAACAUGAGGGUGAACCCAUAUAAAUAGGGUCAAAAAAUAACAAAUAGAUUCCUACAAAUAAAACAAUCCCGAAAAGGUCCUAAAAUGACAAUUUGCAAAUAAAUCCAAAUGAUAAUAUGCAAAUAAAUCCAAUCAACAUAAAAUAAAUCUAACUAAAAUAAAUCAAUCUAAAAUAAAAUCAGGCUGGCUGAAUUGCUGGGAUCCACUGAGCUGGGGUGAUCCUGUGGCGACCGGCUGACCUGGCACUGGUGUCCGCACCAACUCUCCUCGGGUGGAAAGAAGUCGACCUCGACGAAAGUGGCUCGGUAAAGCCUCGGUAGUACUCCAACAAGUCGGGGUCAAUCGACGGUCUCUCCUCAUGCUGGAUCCAAGUAUAACCGGACUUUGGUCGUCCACGCCAACGAACCAGAAAACGUUGGAUGCCUCCAUCACUGUCAAAAACUAUUUGCUCGGCUAAAAUAGAAUCAAUAUACUCUUUUUGUGCUCGAUGGAGGAUAAAAGGAAACGAAGAUGGCAUGGAAUCAAUAAUAGGGUAAACAUCGGGAGCAGGAGAGUGUGCAGCAAAAGAGUCUUCAGGGAUUGCAACCAAAUCUAUAAUAUUAAGAGUAAGGCUAUGACCAAAAUCAAAUGAAAAGUCAAUGGCAUAGGCGUCAGUGCCAUCCUUG